AGUGCAAGCACAAGCGAUAGGGGAAAGGGGCACAUCCAUGGUUGACUAAGAAAGUAAUAGCUUUUUUGUGACGUGUACAGAGUAUAGAAGCGAGUGGACUCGCUUGUUGGCAGUUGCACGUGUCUAGUCACUACCCUCCCUUUUGCUGGUACAGUUGGAGUUCUCACGUGGCAUGCUUAGGCUAACUUUUGAUUGUAUAUAGUUGGUUUGGAGAUAUAAGGUUAUGUAACCUUCUUUUGCUAAUGGGGUUGUAAAUAAUUAUCGAAACAGUUUGUCGUAUUUUGUUAGGUACAAUAGUAAAGGUUGUGUUAGUAGUUAUAGCUUAA
This is a non-coding RNA of Salvia hispanica, 326 nucleotides long. The record is from RefSeq and is a predicted model, not a curated record. Lineage: Eukaryota; Viridiplantae; Streptophyta; Magnoliopsida; Lamiales; Lamiaceae.